UACGUAGGGCGCAAGCGUUGUCCGGAAUUAUUGGGCGUAAAGAGCUCGUAGGCGGUCUGUCGCGUCCGUUGUGAAAACUCGAGGCUCAACCUCGGGCUUGCAGUGGAUACGGGCAGACUAGAGUGCGGUAGGGGGAGACUGGAAUUCCUGGUGUAGCGGUGGAAUGCGCAGAUAUCAGGAGGAACACCGGUGGCGAAGGCGGAUCUCUGGGCCUUACCUGACGCUCAGGCGCGAAAGCUAGGGGAGCGAACAGG
Molecule: ribosomal RNA, 254 nt
Filed under: uncultured bacterium
Lineage: Bacteria
Description: partial 16S ribosomal RNA
Rfam family: Bacterial small subunit ribosomal RNA
Source: RNAcentral